This 1427-nucleotide long non-coding RNA is filed under the name Equus asinus (donkey). RNAcentral describes it as "lncRNA (ENSEASG00005029428.1)". The record is from RNAcentral. Lineage: Eukaryota; Metazoa; Chordata; Mammalia; Perissodactyla; Equidae.
GAAGACAAUAAGCUUAUGAUAUCAGGGAUUUGUUUAAAACGAGAAACUCCAGUUAAAUUUUCUGCCUCUAACAAAACUGCACAGAAAUUAUGUAUUAUCUGAGAGAUACCCUAAGGUAUCACAGGACCCUAAAUCAUCAAAAUAAAAUUGAUUUAUGUUUGGCAUUUUGUUUCCGAGCCGGGAAAGUGAAGUGGUUCAAUUUAGAAAGGUUUUGCUAAACUGGUAGUUAAAACAGUAAGAGUUUUCUUGUAAGUAGUCAAUUAACCAGGAGGUUGGAGCAUUCUGGUUAAUUGUGACUUUGCUAUAUAUUGAUAUUUUAUAGCUCUUUUACCAGUUGGCUCUCCUUAUCAUUGAAUUAUUGAGUUAAAAUGUUUGGUAGUUGGAUCUAUUCAGCAGGACACUUGAAAACUCACCAGCUGUCUUUAAAAGCUUGUUUUUUGUUUUUGUUUUGUUUUUUCACCAGCUGUUUUGGAGAAAGGGAUGUUUACAUCUUAAUGUAAAAAAUGAAAACAGGUAUAAAUAAUGUCUUAUGUAUAGAAAUGCUUUCUUUCAUUAUUUGGUGCCUGCAAUUUCUGAGUAUUUAUAUAACUUCCCUGCCUCUAUCAUGUUGUUGCCAAAGAAACUAUGAAUUUGGAACGAAAAAUUUUUGCCCUGAGUGUAAAGAAGUCCUUCAGCUCUUGAGAGAAAAUCCCUCAGGCCUCUAAUGUGUGUGGCGUUUAUACCGCACUUUUACCUCCAGGAGCAAGUCUGCCUUCAGCUAAUCAUGACUUGUAGUGUGGGAGUGGUGACUGUCCUCCUGCUGUGAAGGAGGGAACUCAGGCAAUCAGAUCAUAAUGACUCACCCCAGGGGCCACGGAGCAAAGCACACACAUCUUCCAAUCUCUUAGUCCUGGGCUCCUCCACUAGAGUGGAAACCUAAAGAUAACUAAGAUUAUAUUCAGGGAGUCUGUCUGCCCUUGGUAAGAUCAAGGAAUUGGGGACUUCUUAAAAUAAUGAGCUCAGGCCUGCUAUUGUCAAAUUUAGGUGUAUACAAUAACAUUAAUGAAAUAUGAACAGAAAGGGGAGAAAAGACCAAUGGAAAUGGAAGGAAGGGUGAACACUGUGCUUUUAUUAGCUGUAAAAUUGGACUCUUGAACUUCCUGGAAGUCAAGGCUUGAAGAAGGGAAUCAAGUUUCACAUCGCCCUAGCUCUGUCUGUAAGUCAAAGCAAACAGGUCCUCAGGGCAGACCUCUUCCAGACGGUUCUGGUGGCAGUGCUGGCACUGGGGGGUCCUGUGAAAUGCUGCAAUGAACAAAUCCUCAGCAGUUUUAUGCAUAUUUGCAUGCGAUGAUUGUGCCUUGGAUCCUCAACUUUAACCAGCUUUCAAAGGCUUUCUUUUCAGGGUGUUUUUUGGUGUGGCUAAUAGAGGAUUUGUUCCCAUAAGUAAG